This is a transfer RNA of Loxodonta africana (African savanna elephant), 73 nucleotides long. It matches the Rfam family "tRNA". From Rfam's summary of the family: Transfer RNA (tRNA) molecules are approximately 80 nucleotides in length. Their secondary structure includes four short double-helical elements and three loops (D, anti-codon, and T loops). Further hydrogen bonds mediate the characteristic L-shaped molecular structure. tRNAs have two regions of fundamental functional importance: the anti-codon, which is responsible for specific mRNA codon recognition, and the 3' end, to which the tRNAs corresponding amino acid is attached (by aminoacyl-tRNA synthetases). tRNAs cope with the degeneracy of the genetic code in two manners: having more than one tRNA (with a specific anti-codon) for a particular amino acid; and 'wobble' base-pairing, i.e. permitting non-standard base-pairing at the 3rd anti-codon position. The record is from Rfam. Lineage: Eukaryota; Metazoa; Chordata; Mammalia; Proboscidea; Elephantidae.
GGUUUCAUGGUGUAGUGGUUAGCACAUCUGCUUUACACGCAGAAGAUCCUGGGUUCAAUUCCCAGUGGAGCCA